RNAcentral lists this ribosomal RNA (451 nucleotides) under uncultured bacterium. Its description in RNAcentral is "partial 16S ribosomal RNA". It matches the Rfam family "Bacterial small subunit ribosomal RNA", at positions 354 to 796 of the family's 1533-position model. The record is from RNAcentral.
GUGGGGAAUUUUGGACAAUGGGCGAAAGCCUGAUCCAGCAAUGCCGCGUGUGUGAAGAAGGCCUUUUGGUUGUAAAGUACUUUAAGCGAGGAGGAGGCUACCGAGAUUAAUACUCUUGGAUAGUGGACGUUACUCGCAGAAUAAGCACCGGCUAACUCUGUGUCAGCAGCCGCGGUAAUACAGAGGGUGCAAGCGUUAAUCGGAUUUACUGGGCGUAAAGCGCGCGUAGGUGGUUUUGUAAGUUGGAGGUGAAAUCCCCGGGCUCAACCUGGGAACUGCCUCCAAAACUGCAUGACUAGAGUACGGUAGAGGGUAGUGGAAUUUCCUGUGUAGCGGUGAAAUGCGUAGAUAUAGGAAGGAACACCAGUGGCGAAGGCGACUACCUGGACUGAUACUGACACUGAGGUGCGAAAGCGUGGGGAGCAAACAGGAUUAGAAACCCUAGUAGUCC